CAAUACGGAGUGGCAGACGGGUGAGUAACGCGUGGGAACAUACCCCUCGGUUCGGAAUAACUCAGGGAAACUUGAGCUAAUACCGGAUACGUCCGAGGUCUUAAUCGACCUUGGAGAAAGAUUUAUCGCCGGAGGAUUGGCCCGCGUCUGAUUAGCUUGUUGGUGAGGUAAUGGCUCACCAAGGCGACGAUCAGUAGCUGGUCUGAGAGGAUGGUCAGCCACAUUGGGACUGAGACACGGCCCAAACUCCUACGGGAGGCAGCAGUGGGGAAUAUUGGACAAUGGGCGAAAGCCUGAUCCAGCCAUGCCGCGUGAGUGAUGAAGGCCUUAGGGUUGUAAAGCUCUUUUACCCGGGAAGAUAAUGACGGUACCGGGAGAAUAAGCCCCGGCUAACUUCGUGCCAGCAGCCGCGGUAAU
This 417-nucleotide ribosomal RNA is filed under the name uncultured Alphaproteobacteria bacterium. Its description in RNAcentral is "bacterial SSU rRNA". It matches the Rfam family "Bacterial small subunit ribosomal RNA", at positions 86 to 524 of the family's 1533-position model. The record is from RNAcentral. Lineage: Bacteria; Pseudomonadati; Pseudomonadota; Alphaproteobacteria.